This 492-nucleotide ribosomal RNA is filed under the name uncultured bacterium. RNAcentral describes it as "partial 16S ribosomal RNA". It matches the Rfam family "Bacterial small subunit ribosomal RNA", at positions 29 to 507 of the family's 1533-position model. The record is from RNAcentral.
AGUGAACGCUGGCGGUAGGCCUAACACAUGCAAGUCGAGCGGCAGCACAGUAAGAGCUUGCUCUUACGGGUGGCGAGUGGCGGACGGGUGAGGAAUACAUCGGAAUCUACUUUUUCGGGGGGGAUAACGUAGGGAAACUUACGCUAAUACCGCAUACGACCUACGGGUGAAAGCAGGGGAUCUUCGGACCUUGCGCGAUUGAAUGAGCCGAUGUCGGAUUAGCUAGUUGGCGGGGUAAAGGCCCACCAAGGCGACGAUCCGUAGCUGGUCUGAGAGGAUGAUCAGCCACACUGGAACUGAGACACGGUCCAGACUCCUACGGGAGGCAGCAGUGGGGAAUAUUGGACAAUGGGCGCAAGCCUGAUCCAGCCAUACCGCGUGGGUGAAGAAGGCCCUCGGGUUGUAAAGCCCUUUUGUUGGGAAAGAAAAGCAGCAGGUUAAUACCCCGCUGUUCUGACGGUACCCAAAGAAUAAGCACCGGCUAACUUCGUG